RNAcentral lists this transfer RNA (73 nucleotides) under Pharomachrus auriceps. RNAcentral describes it as "tRNA-Tyr". It matches the Rfam family "tRNA". From Rfam's summary of the family: Transfer RNA (tRNA) molecules are approximately 80 nucleotides in length. Their secondary structure includes four short double-helical elements and three loops (D, anti-codon, and T loops). Further hydrogen bonds mediate the characteristic L-shaped molecular structure. tRNAs have two regions of fundamental functional importance: the anti-codon, which is responsible for specific mRNA codon recognition, and the 3' end, to which the tRNAs corresponding amino acid is attached (by aminoacyl-tRNA synthetases). tRNAs cope with the degeneracy of the genetic code in two manners: having more than one tRNA (with a specific anti-codon) for a particular amino acid; and 'wobble' base-pairing, i.e. permitting non-standard base-pairing at the 3rd anti-codon position. The record is from RNAcentral. Lineage: Eukaryota; Metazoa; Chordata; Aves; Trogoniformes; Trogonidae.
GGUAAGAUGGCCGAGGAUUGUUAGGCGUUAGGCUGUAGUCCUUUUUACAGAGGUUCAAGCCCUCUUCUUAUCG